Molecule: non-coding RNA, 162 nt
Filed under: Alicyclobacillus hesperidum
Lineage: Bacteria; Bacillati; Bacillota; Bacilli; Caryophanales; Alicyclobacillaceae
Description: GlcN6P sequence
Rfam family: glmS glucosamine-6-phosphate activated ribozyme aptamer
About the family: This entry contains a glucosamine-6-phosphate activated ribozyme that is found in the mRNA for GlmS. GlmS is an enzyme that uses fructose-6-phosphate and glutamine to generate glucosamine-6-phosphate. The ribozyme catalyses self cleavage of the glmS mRNA that is thought to regulate GlmS activity.
Source: Rfam by way of RNAcentral
CAUCGUCCAACAGCGCCUGGACUGCAGCUGCAAAUGCGGUGCAGUUGACGCGGAGGAGGUUGGCGAAGCAUUCGGCGGGUGCCUCCCGGCGUUUUCCGAUCACGCCGCAAGCAAAGCCUGAAAACCAUCGGGCGACCGGUGCGACAAGGGUGAGCAGAUCGG